GAUGAACGCUGGCGGCGUGCCUAAUACAUGCAAGUCGAACGGACGGACGAUGAGCUUGCUUCUCUGACGUUAGCGGCGCGGGGGUGAGUAACAUGUGUAUACCCUACCUAUAAGACUGGGAUAACUUCGGGAAACCGGAGCUAAUACCGGAUAAUAUUCUGAACCGCAUGGUUCAAAAGUGAAAGACGGUCUUGCUGUCACUUAUAGAUGGAUCCGCGCUGCAUUAGCUAGUUGGUAAGGUAACGGCUUACCAAGGCAACGAUGCAUAGACGACCUGAGAGGGUGAUCGGCCACACGGGAACUGGGACACGGUCCAGACUCCUACGGGAGGCAGCAGUAGGGAAUCUUCCGCAAUGGGCGAGAGCCUGACGCAGCAACGCCGCGUGAGUGAUGAAGGUCUUCGGAUCGUAAAGCUCUGUUAUGAGGGAAGAACAUAUGUGUAAGUAACUGUGCACAUAUUGACGGUACCGAAUCAGAAAGCACCGGCUAACUACGUG
This 497-nucleotide ribosomal RNA is filed under the name uncultured bacterium. Its description in RNAcentral is "partial 16S ribosomal RNA". It matches the Rfam family "Bacterial small subunit ribosomal RNA", at positions 28 to 507 of the family's 1533-position model. The record is from RNAcentral.